CAGUCGCCGCGGGAAUACGAACCGUGCGAACGUUAUUCGGAAUCACUGGGCUUAAAGCGCGUGUAGGCGGGCCGCCACGUCGGCUGCUGAAAUCCCCCGGCUCAACCGGGGAAGUGGCACCGAUACGAGCGGCCUGGAGGGGGGUAGGGGGGACUGGAACUUCCGGUGGAGCGGUGAAAUGCGUUGAGAUCGGAAGGAACGCCCGUGGCGAAAGCGAGUCCCUGGACCCUUACUGACGCUGAGACGCGAAAGCCAGGGGAGCGAACGGGAUUAGAUACCCGCGUAGUCCCUGUCUCUUAUU
This 301-nucleotide ribosomal RNA is filed under the name uncultured bacterium. RNAcentral's name for it is "partial 16S ribosomal RNA". It matches the Rfam family "Bacterial small subunit ribosomal RNA", at positions 509 to 807 of the family's 1533-position model. The record is from RNAcentral.